RNAcentral lists this ribosomal RNA (366 nucleotides) under Saccharomyces cerevisiae YJM1307. Its description in RNAcentral is "ITS1-128". Lineage: Eukaryota; Fungi; Ascomycota; Saccharomycetes; Saccharomycetales; Saccharomycetaceae. The record is from RNAcentral.
AAGAAAUUUAAUAAUUUUGAAAAUGGAUUUUUUUUUUUUGUUUUGGCAAGAGCAUGAGAGCUUUUACUGGGCAAGAAGACAAGAGAUGGAGAGUCCAGCCGGGCCUGCGCUUAAGUGCGCGGUCUUGCUAGGCUUGUAAGUUUCUUUCUUGCUAUUCCAAACGGUGAGAGAUUUCUGUGCUUUUGUUAUAGGACAAUUAAAACCGUUUCAAUACAACACACUGUGGAGUUUUCAUAUCUUUGCAACUUUUUCUUUGGGCAUUCGAGCAAUCGGGGCCCAGAGGUAACAAACACAAACAAUUUUAUUUAUUCAUUAAAUUUUUGUCAAAAACAAGAAUUUUCGUAACUGGAAAUUUUAAAAUAUUAA